Molecule: non-coding RNA, 89 nt
Organism: Spinacia oleracea (spinach)
Lineage: Eukaryota; Viridiplantae; Streptophyta; Magnoliopsida; Caryophyllales; Amaranthaceae
Source: Rfam
GAGCAGAUGAUGAUACACAUGAAACAACAACUACCACUGAGUUGUAAUGCAUGAUGUUACAAAUUCGAGCUUUUUAAAACUGAUGCUCC